This 539-nucleotide ribosomal RNA is filed under the name Streptococcus sp. HFB0010. RNAcentral's name for it is "bacterial SSU rRNA". It matches the Rfam family "Bacterial small subunit ribosomal RNA", at positions 103 to 630 of the family's 1533-position model. Lineage: Bacteria; Bacillati; Bacillota; Bacilli; Lactobacillales; Streptococcaceae. The record is from RNAcentral.
CGGGUGAGUAACGCGUAGGUAACCUGCCUAUUAGCGGGGGAUAACUAUUGGAAACGAUAGCUAAUACCGCAUAAUAUUAAUUAUUGCAUGAUAAUUGAUUGAAAGAUGCAAGCGCAUCACUAGUAGAUGGACCUGCGUUGUAUUAGCUAGUUGGUAAGGUAAGAGCUUACCAAGGCGACGAUACAUAGCCGACCUGAGAGGGUGAUCGGCCACACUGGGACUGAGACACGGCCCAGACUCCUACGGGAGGCAGCAGUAGGGAAUCUUCGGCAAUGGACGAAAGUCUGACCGAGCAACGCCGCGUGAGUGAAGAAGGUUUUCGGAUCGUAAAGCUCUGUUGUAAGUCAAGAACGUGUGUGAGAGUGGAAAGUUCACACAGUGACGGUAGCUUACCAGAAAGGGACGGCUAACUACGUGCCAGCAGCCGCGGUAAUACGUAGGUCCCGAGCGUUGUCCGGAUUUAUUGGGCGUAAAGGGAGCGCAGGCGGUCAGGAAAGUCUGGAGUAAAAGGCUAUGGCUCAACCAUAGUGUGCUCUGGA